GAUGAACGCUGGCGGCGUGCCUAAUACAUGCAAGUCGAGCGAACGGACGAGGAGCUUGCUUCUCUGAUGUUAGCGGCGGACGGGUGAGUAACACGUGGAUAACCUACCUAUAAGACUGGGAUAACUUCGGGAAACCGGAGCUAAUACCGGAUAAUAUUUUGAACCGCAUGGUUCAAAAGUGAAAGACGGUCUUGCUGUCACUUAUAGAUGGAUCCGCGCUGCAUUAGCUAGUUGGUAAGGUAACGGCUUACCAAGGCAACGAUGCAUAGCCGACCUGAGAGGGUGAUCGGCCACACUGGAACUGAGACACGGUCCAGACUCCUACGGGAGGCAGCAGUAGGGAAUCUUCCGCAAUGGGCGAAAGCCUGACGGAGCAACGCCGCGUGAGUGAUGAAGGUCUUCGGAUCGUAAAACUCUGUUAUUAGGGAAGAACAAAUGUGUAAGUAACUGUGCACGUCUUGACGGUACCUAAUCAGAAAGCCACGGCUAACUACGUG
This 497-nucleotide ribosomal RNA is filed under the name uncultured bacterium. RNAcentral describes it as "partial 16S ribosomal RNA". It matches the Rfam family "Bacterial small subunit ribosomal RNA", at positions 28 to 507 of the family's 1533-position model. The record is from RNAcentral.